This is a non-coding RNA of Ictidomys tridecemlineatus (thirteen-lined ground squirrel), 72 nucleotides long. The record is from Rfam. NCBI's taxonomy places the organism in Eukaryota, Metazoa, Chordata, Mammalia, Rodentia, Sciuridae.
UGGGUUGUGGUUCAGUGGUAGAGCACUUGCCUAGCAUGCAUGAGACACUGGGUUCAAUCCUCUGUACCACAU